GUCGGGAUGAUGAAGAUGGCCACCGGUGAUGGGUUCCCCCUCCGGCAGGGUGCCGGAACAGGCUCCCGAGAGAUUUUUGGUGGCUACAGAGGCUUGCGGCGGCGGAACUCCUGAUCUAUCUUCUCCGUGGAUGUUUUUAGGGUACGUGGGACUAUAUAGGCGAAAGAAGUCGGUCGGGGGGUGCUCGAGGGGCCCACGAGAC
RNAcentral lists this ribosomal RNA (202 nucleotides) under Triticum aestivum (bread wheat). Its description in RNAcentral is "partial small subunit ribosomal RNA". Lineage: Eukaryota; Viridiplantae; Streptophyta; Magnoliopsida; Poales; Poaceae. The record is from RNAcentral.